RNAcentral lists this ribosomal RNA (465 nucleotides) under uncultured bacterium. RNAcentral's name for it is "partial 16S ribosomal RNA". It matches the Rfam family "Bacterial small subunit ribosomal RNA", at positions 28 to 507 of the family's 1533-position model. The record is from RNAcentral.
GACGAACGCUGGCGGCGUGCUUAACACAUGCAAGUCGAACGGAAAGGCCCUGCUUGCUGGGUCCUCGAGUGGCGAACGGGUGAGUAACACGUGGGUGAUCUGCCCUGUACUUUGGGAUAAGCCUGGGAAACUGGGUCCAAUAGCGGAUAUGACCUUCCACGUAGUGGGGGGGGCGGAAAGAUUUAUCGGUGUGGGCUGGGCGCGGGGCCGAUCAGCUUGUUGGUGGGGUAAUGGCCUACCAAGGCGUCGACGGGUAGCCGGCCUGAGGGGGUGGACGGCCACAAUAGGACUGAGGGACGGCCCAGACUCCUACGGGGGGCAGCGGUGGGGAGUAUUGCACAAUGGGCGGAAGCCGUAUGCAGCGGCGCCGCGUGGGGGAUGACGGCCUUCGGGUUGUAAACCUCUGUCGGCAGGGACGAAGCUUCGGUGACGGUACCUAUAUAAGAAGCACCGGCUAACUACGUG